Long non-coding RNA from Carassius gibelio (silver crucian carp), 3351 nucleotides. RefSeq lists it as uncharacterized. The record is from RefSeq and is a predicted model, not a curated record. NCBI's taxonomy places the organism in Eukaryota, Metazoa, Chordata, Actinopteri, Cypriniformes, Cyprinidae. The transcript has 4 exons.
UCAGUCGGACGCAGCAGCAGCAGUCUUCUGAGGAUCUAUAUUAGUAACCCUUAUAUUCGUCUGUUGUGUUGUUUAAUAUAUGUUUUAAAUUGAAUUUAGCGCUUUUUUGUUAUUUACAUUUAACCCAUCCACGCGUCAUCGCUCAGUCUCGGUCAGCUGCGAGUCUUUUGAGGAGAGGUUCAACCGGAUCACUUCAACCUACCAUGGAGUUUGAGAACAGCAAAGAAGGAUGUAAAUGCCAAAAGGAUUGCAGUAAAUGCCAAUGUCAUUGUCAUACAAUAACUAUCAGUCCUAAACCUAAACAACUGAUUGUGGAGGAGAAGACACCUGAGGCGCCUGAAAUGCCUUUGAAAGAGCGCGCCCCCUGGUAUUGCUUCCCUUGUGAUUCUGGCCACAGUGAUUAUGGUCCUGGUGAUUCUGGCUCCUGUGAUUCUGGCUCAUGUGAUUGUGGAUCCUGUGAUUGUGGCUCCUGUGAUUGUGGCUCCUGUGAUUCUGGCUCAUGUGAUUGUGGAUCCUGUGAUUGUGGAUCCUGUGAUUGUGGUUCCUGUGAUUGUCAGUGUAUGUUCUGACAGGCUACGCAUACAUCCUAGGUCAUCUGCCCGGAAUGACUUCUGCGUGCUACAGCUCUACAGAAAAGUGGUUAUAAUGUUUUAAAUAUGGAUAUGAUUCUUACAAAAUGCAUGGAUUCACUACAGAAGGCCUUUAUUAACCCCCCGGAGCCGUGUGAGGCACUUUUUAUUAUGGAUGGAUGCACUUUAUUGGACUUCUUUUGGACUGUUGAACAGAUACUCCCGCCCACUGCCAUUAUAAAGCUUAGAAGAGGCAGGACAAUUUUUAAUAUAACUCUGAUUGGAUUUGUCUGAAAGAAGAAAGUCAUAUACACCUAGGAUGGCUUGAGGAUCAGUGCUGGCCAGUGCAGCAGUCAAACAGAUGAUCAGUGUGUCUGAGAGAGACACACAUGUUCCCAGCAGGCCCUGGACUGGAUGAACCGCACACAUUUCCUCAAAAACCCUGUGAGGAGUGCCUCUUAUUUUCACUCUCUAUUUCACAUGUUACUGUAUCUUUCAAUAGUAAGGGAGUCAGUAUACUUAUUGUAUUUUGGUGUAAAUUACUACUUAUUAUCUACUACUGUGUAAGCAGAUGUAUCUUAAAAUAUAUGAUGAAGUAUCUAUUCUUAACACCGGAAGACUAGAGACUGUGCUGCUGAAGCUGAGAAGACUGGAUGGACAAGCAGCUCAGUGUUCAUUAUCUACUGGAAUGCACAGACUUUUACACUGCUUCUGAGAAACUGGCUACAGUACUAGUUAGUGUGACCAAUAUUGGUCCAUUAAGAUGGAAAAUAGGAAGAGAUCUGCUAACCGACACACCUUUAGCUCUGUGUGGAAGCUGUAAUCUGUAUAUACACCCAUUCACAUCCUUCUCUUCACUCUCUGACGCAUAAGUCUCCAAACUCAUCCUUUCUAUUCAAUCUACUACUUGUCCGCUAGAUCCUAUUCCAUCUCAUCUCCUUCAAGCCAUUUCUCCUGCAGUUGUACCUACACUCGCUCACAUCAUUAACAUAUCCCUCCACACUGGUGUUUUUCCUUCAUCAUUUAGACAGGCUUGUAUAACUCCACUACUUAAGAAACCCACCCUCAACCCAUCUCUUUUAGAGAACUACAGACCAGUUCCCCUUCUUCCUUUCAUUGCAAAAACACUUGAACAAGCUGUGUUCAACCAAGUCUCUGUCUUUCUCACACACAACAACCUCCUUGACAUCAACCAAUCUGGCUUUAAAAGUGGACAUUCAACUCAGACUGCCUUCCUCUCAGUUGCUGAAGCCCUAAGACUUGCAAGAGUGGAAUACAAAUCUUCAAUACUUAUCUUGCUUGAUUGCAAUAUCUAACUUCUGGGGUGCCUCAGGGCUCAGUUCUUGGACCACUUAUCUUCUCUGUCUACAUGGCAUCAUAAGGUCCUGUCAUUCAGAAACAUGGCUUUUCAUACCACUGCUAUGCUGAUGACACUCAACUCUACCUCUCAUUCCAUCGUGAUGAUCUGACAGUAACUGCUCGCAUCUCAGCUUGUCUAACAGACAUUUCUUACUGGAUGAAGGAACAUAACCUUCAACUCAACCUUGCCAAGACAGAACUUCUUGUGGUUCCAGCAAACCCAUCGUUUCAUCACAAUUUUACCAUCAUAUUAGGCACAUCAACCAUAACUCCUAUAAAAAACAACCAGAACCUUGGAGUUAUGAUUGAUUUUCUCAGACCACAUUGCUAAAACUGUCCGAUCCUGCACAUUUGCUUUAUUCAACAUCAAGAAGAUCAAGCUCUUUCUUUCAGAACAUGCUGCAAAACUCUGUGUUCAAGCUCUUGUUCUGUCCAGGCUGGAAAAUUGUAAUGCCCUCUUGGCAGGUCUUCCAGCCAAUUCUAUCAAACCUUUACAAUUAAUCCAGAAUGCAGCAGCAAGAUACAUUUUUUAUGAGCUGAAAAGAGUACAUGUCACACCUCUGUUUAUCAAUCUGCACUGGCUACCAAUAGCUGCUCGCAUAAAAUUCAAGGCAUUAAUGAUUGCCUCCAAAACCACCACUAGCUCUGCACCCAUUUACCUAAAUCCAUUACUUCAGACUUAUGUGCCCUAUAGAAGAUUGUGUUCUGCAAGUGAACGUUGCAUGAUUGUGCCAUCCCGAAGAAGCACAAAGUCACUUUUAAAUUUUAAAUAAAAUAUUCUCUUCUGGUGGAAUGACCUCCCCAACUAAAUCCAAGCAUCUGAGUCCUUAGCCAUCUUCAAGAAUCGGCUUAAAACUCAUCUCUUUAUUUGACCCUCUAACUUUAGCACUCACUAUUCUUAUUCUAUUCUUUAAAAAAAAAGUCUAACUAGCUUUCUACUAUUUUUGUAUUCAAUCUGUUUUCUUUUUAUUUAUUAUACAAAAAAAAAAAAAAUAUAUAUAUAUAUAUAUAUAUAACUUUUAACACUAACUUGCACAAUUCUUUCUCUAUUCUAUGUUUUAAUUUUAUUUAUUAUAUUAUUUAAAAGCCCUUGCUACGUGUACUGCGUUUUAGGCUAACUGAGACUUUUGUAUUUUUUGAUUGCUUCUAUUGUCCUCGCUUUGGAUAAAAGCAUCUGCUAAUGAGCAAAACGUAAAUGUAUAUCAACUAUAUCAUUAACAUAAUUUUGUAACCAUAACUGUUAUUAAAGCAUUAAACGCUAGUCUUGAUUCAUCAUUAAAAUUGAAGUGCUGCCUGCAAUAAUACAUUAGUCACUCAAUAGCUAUGCUCUCCCACUAAUACAGAGUUUGCUGUUCAUCCUCCCUUAUGUAUCUUAUUAAUUGUGUAUCUGAUCAAUAAAGUUUGAAGAAAGAGCAGAUGUGAA